UACGUAGGUGGCGAGCGUUGUCCGGAAUUACUGGGUGUAAAGGGCGUGUAGGCGGGUCUGCAAGUCAGAUGUGAAAUUCCGGGGCUUAACCCCGGCACUGCAUUUGAAACUGCGGAUCUUGAGUAUCGGAGAGGGAAGUGGAAUUCCUAGUGUAGCGGUGAAAUGCGUAGAUAUUAGGAGGAACACCAGUGGCGAAGGCGACUUUCUGGACGAUAACUGACGCUGAGGCGCGAAAGCGUGGGGAGCAAACAGG
RNAcentral lists this ribosomal RNA (253 nucleotides) under uncultured bacterium. RNAcentral's name for it is "partial 16S ribosomal RNA". It matches the Rfam family "Bacterial small subunit ribosomal RNA", at positions 524 to 776 of the family's 1533-position model. The record is from RNAcentral.